ACGGAAGGCAGCAGUGGGGAAUAUUGCGCAAUGGGCGAAAGCCUGACGCAGCGACGCCGCGUGAGGGAUGAAGGUCUUCGGAUCGUAAACCUCUGUCAGAAGGGAAGAAUGUUAUGUCUGCCAAUCAGGACAUAAGUGACGGUACCUUCAAAGGAAGCACCGGCUAACUCCGUGCCAGCAGCCGCGGUAAUACGGAGGGUGCAAGCGUUAAUCGGAAUUACUGGGCGUAAAGCGCAUGUAGGCUGUAAGGCAAGUUGGUGGUGAAAUCCAACGGCUCAACCGUUGAACUGCCAUCAAAACUACCUCACUCGAGUGCGGAAGAGGACAGCGGAAUUCCGGGUGUAGGAGUGAAAUCCGUAGAUAUCCGGAAGAACAUCAGUGGCGAAGGCGGCUGUCUGGUCCGUAACUGACGCUGAGAUGCGAAAGCGUGGGUAGCAAACAGGAUUAGAUACCCUGGUA
Molecule: ribosomal RNA, 459 nt
Filed under: uncultured Desulfovibrio sp.
Lineage: Bacteria; Pseudomonadati; Thermodesulfobacteriota; Desulfovibrionia; Desulfovibrionales; Desulfovibrionaceae
Description: partial 16S ribosomal RNA
Rfam family: Bacterial small subunit ribosomal RNA
Source: RNAcentral